CACGGGGGUUGCAAGCGUUGUCCGGAAUUACUAGGCGUAAAGGGCAGGUAGGCGGAUAUGUAAGUUUCAUGUUAAAGGCAUCGGCUUAACCGGUGUAUGGCAUGAGAUACUGUGUAUCUGGAAUGCGGUUGAGGAAGACAGAAUUCCUGGUGUAGCGGUGGAAUGCGCAGAGAUCAGGAGGAAUACCAAAGGCGAAGGCAGUCUUCUAAGCCGAUAUUGACGCUAAACUGCGAAGGUGUGGGUAUCAAACAGGAUUAGAUACCCUGGUUGUCCACACAGUAAACGAUAAUCACUAGGUGUUGGGAUCGCAGAGAUUUCAGUGCCGUAGCUAACGCGAUAAGUGAUUCGCCUGGGGAGUACGAUCGCAAGGUUGAA
RNAcentral lists this ribosomal RNA (375 nucleotides) under uncultured bacterium. RNAcentral describes it as "bacterial SSU rRNA". It matches the Rfam family "Bacterial small subunit ribosomal RNA", at positions 524 to 898 of the family's 1533-position model. The record is from RNAcentral.